Molecule: ribosomal RNA, 253 nt
Filed under: uncultured bacterium
Lineage: Bacteria
Description: partial 16S ribosomal RNA
Rfam family: Bacterial small subunit ribosomal RNA
Source: RNAcentral
UACGGGGGGGGUAAGCGUUGUUCGGAAUUACUGGGCGUAAAGGGCUCGUAGGCGGCCAACUAAGUCAUACGUGAAAUCCCUCAGCUUAACUGGGGAACUGCGUGUGAUACUGGAUGGCUUGGAUUUGGGAGAGGGAUGCGGAAUUCCAGGUGUAGCGGUGAAAUGCGUAGAUAUCUGGAGGAACACCGGUGGCGAAGGCGGCAUUCUGGACCGACAUUGACGCUGAGGAGCGAAAGCCAGGGGAGCGAACGGG